CCUACGGGAGGCAGCAGUGAGGAAUAUUGGUCAAUGGGCGCGAGCCUGAACCAGCCAAGUAGCGUGAAGGAUGACUGCCCCACGGGUUGUAGACUUCUUUUAUAAAGGAAUAAAGUGAGGCACGUGUGCCUUUUUGUAUGUACUUUAUGAAUAAGGAUCGGCUAACUACGUGCCAGCAGCCGCGGUAAUACGGAGGAUCCGAGCGUUAUCCGGAUUUAUUGGGUUUAAAGGGAGCGUAGAUGGGUUGUUAAGUCAGUUGUGAAAGUUUGGGGCUCAACCGUAAAAUUGCAAUUGAUACUGGCAGGCUUGAGUGCAGUAGAGGUAGGGGGAAUUCGUGGUGUAGCGGGGAAAUGCUUAGAUAUCACGAAGAACUCCGAUUGCGAAGGCAGCUUACUAAACUGCAACUGACAUUGAGGCUCGAAAGUGGGGGUAUCAAACAGGAUUAGAUACCCGUGUAGUC
RNAcentral lists this ribosomal RNA (460 nucleotides) under uncultured bacterium. RNAcentral describes it as "partial 16S ribosomal RNA". It matches the Rfam family "Bacterial small subunit ribosomal RNA", at positions 338 to 795 of the family's 1533-position model. The record is from RNAcentral.